UACAGAGGUCUCGAGCGUUUGUUCGGAUUCAUUGGGCGUAAAGGGUGCGUAGGUGGCGUGGUAAGUCUGGUGUGAAAUCCCGGGGCUCAACCCCGGAACUGCACUGGAUACUGCCAUGCUUGAGUACUGGAGAGGAGAUUGGAAUUUACGGUGUAGCAGUGAAAUGCGUAGAUAUCGUAAGGAAGACCAGUGGCGAAGGCGAAUCUCUGGA
This 211-nucleotide ribosomal RNA is filed under the name uncultured bacterium. Its description in RNAcentral is "partial 16S ribosomal RNA". It matches the Rfam family "Bacterial small subunit ribosomal RNA", at positions 524 to 733 of the family's 1533-position model. The record is from RNAcentral.